RNAcentral lists this long non-coding RNA (1823 nucleotides) under Theobroma cacao (cacao). RNAcentral describes it as "long non-coding RNA (TCAC_LNC001104)". The record is from RNAcentral. Lineage: Eukaryota; Viridiplantae; Streptophyta; Magnoliopsida; Malvales; Malvaceae.
UGGACUAAUGGAAACAUGCCAUGUGUCAAGCUUGGAUUAUUCUAGAAUUUCCUUGUAAAAUCUAUUUAAAACUCUCUUAGUCUCACCCAUAUGGCUGGCCAAAGCGUGAAGUGAAGAGGAAAGGAAAGAACAGAAACCCUAGGUGGAAAAAUUGAAGAAAAAGUGUGGGAUUUCAAGGGAUUAAGCUAAUAAAGGUAAAAUUUUGUGAUUUUAUCUUGUGAUUUACACUGCCCAUGCUUUCUUUUUCAUUUUCCAUGGUUAGAACUCAAGUUUGCAUAAUGAACCCAUGCUGGCCAAAUUUGAGAGGAGAGGUUUUGAGCAUUGAUUUUGCUAGAUUUCAAGCUAAUUAAGUGUUUUUGGUUGUUUGGUAAUGGAAAGUAUGAAAAUCUAGCAAGGAAUCACUCUGUUCUUCACAAACCCACAAGAGGUCGAAUUUUCUAGGGAGGAUAUUGAGGUUGAAAUUGAUGAUAUUUCAUGAUAUUUUGGUGGUAUUUAAUGAUUGGUGAGGCUAGAAAUUUAAUGGGAAAUUUUGGCAUGAAAAUCUGAAUUUUUACCUAAUGUAUAGACAUGUGCAAUUUAUGGUUCGGAUUGAUAAAUUGAAUCAUAUUCACAGUCAUUGAGGUAUUUUAAGUAGAAUUGGAGUGUAGAAAGUGAAAGAAAUCGAUUUGGAGUUAAAUUGGAGGUUUUAGCCAAUUACAUCGAGAAUAAUGCAAAUUAGGUCGAAUACCGUAUUUAAACGGCUAUUCGGACAUUUUGCAUCACAUUUCGUGCAUUCAUAUAGAUUUAUAGAGCCUGAAAUAGUUUAUGAUAAAUUGACAUAAUUUAUUGAAAUUCGUGUCACGUAUGAUGUAUAGGUGGUGAGCCCUCUAACAAGGGUAAAGAGAUUGUGCUCGAAGACUGGGAAUAGAAAUAUAUCGAACUCUUAGUACUGUGAGUAAUCUAAAGUGGUUUUUAUCCGAUUUUGUGAAUUUCAUGGAAAAUGAAUUAAAUGAUUAAUUUUUUUCUGUUUUAUAAACCAAAUGUGAUUUAAUGAAAUGAUUUCAUAAAAUUGUCUUAAAAUUGAAUAAUGGCUUUGAAAAUAGAGUAAUUGGAGACCAUUUGAUGUAUUGUGAAUUUAUGGUUGUAAUUGAUUGGCUUAUGACAAUAUUGGCAUGAAUGGCUAAAUUGGUAUUUGUGUUGAAAUGUAUAAAUUGUUGUUUGCCUUGAUAGGCUGGAUAAUGAUAAAAUUGCCAUGUUAUGCUGUUGAAUUUUUAUUGUAUGGUGGGUUUAGCUUGCUGCAGUGGGCUGAUUCUGUGGACUAGCCUAUUAGAGGGGCACAAAACCUGGUCAUAUUCUUUCCUCGGCUAGAGAGGCGAGUAGGGUAACUCCCGAGGUAUAACUUUAGAGUUCACUUCACACCAAACCACCUCGUGAUGAUGAACUCCGCUAACACCAAGGAACGGCUAUGUUUUUAAAAUAAAAACAUGAUUUAUGAGUACAUAACUUUUUAACAGCCUUGGUGGACUCGGUUGUGAUAGCCGUCGAUCAAGGCAUCCCUGAUAACUGGGUAUAAAAAUGAUUUUGGCAGGAGCCAAAGCUUUUAAGAAAUUCAUAAGCCAUGUUAAUUACUCGAUUUAUAUGAAUUGAUUUUAUUUGGUUGAAACAAGUUGAAAGGUGAUGAAUUUUAAUAUGUUAAAUUGUUUUAUCUGUCUCCAUUUACUCGACUUUAGAUGGUUUAGAUGGUAUCUGCUUACUCACUGAGAUUUUAUAAUCUCACCACCCUCCUUUUCAACCAUUUCAAGCCCGAGGUAGCCUGUGGAUAGCAGAUAUCGUCAAGGAUUAUA